RNAcentral lists this ribosomal RNA (1231 nucleotides) under Staphylococcus pseudintermedius. RNAcentral's name for it is "partial 23S ribosomal RNA". It matches the Rfam family "Bacterial large subunit ribosomal RNA", at positions 1589 to 2821 of the family's 2925-position model. The record is from RNAcentral. Lineage: Bacteria; Bacillati; Bacillota; Bacilli; Caryophanales; Staphylococcaceae.
AGUCGUUGAUUUCACACUGCCGAGAAAAGCCUCUAGCUAGAAUAACGGUGCCCGUACCGCAAACCGACACAGGUAGUCAAGAUGAGAAUUCUAAGGUGAGCGAGCGAACUCUCGUUAAGGAACUCGGCAAAAUGACCCCGUAACUUCGGGAGAAGGGGUGCUCUUUGAGGUUCACGCUUCGAAGAGCCGCAGUGAAUAGGCCCAAGCGACUGUUUAUCAAAAACACAGGUCUCUGCUAAACCGUAAGGUGACGUAUAGGGGCUGACGCCUGCCCGGUGCUGGAAGGUUAAGAGGAGUGGUUAGCGCAAGCGAAGCUACGAAUCGAAGCCCCAGUAAACGGCGGCCGUAACUAUAACGGUCCUAAGGUAGCGAAAUUCCUUGUCGGGUAAGUUCCGACCCGCACGAAAGGCGUAACGAUUUGGGCACUGUCUCAACGAGAGACUCGGUGAAAUCAUAGUACCGGUGAAGAUGCCGGUUACCCGCGACAGGACGGAAAGACCCCGUGGAGCUUUACUGUAGCCUGAUAUUGAAAUUCGGUACAGUUUGUACAGGAUAGGUAGGAGCCUUAGAAGCGUGAGCGCUAGCUUACGUGGAGGCAUUGGUGGGAUACUACCCUAAUUGUAUUGGAUUUCUAACCCGCAGCACUUAUCGUGCUGGGAGACAGUGUCAGGCGGGCAGUUUGACUGGGGCGGUCGCCUCCUAAAGAGUAACGGAGGCGCUCAAAGGUUCCCUCAGAAUGGUUGGAAAUCAUUCAUAGAGUGUAAAGGCAUAAGGGAGCUUGACUGCGAGACCUACAAGUCGAGCAGGGUCGAAAGACGGACUUAGUGAUCCGGUGGUUCCGCAUGGAAGGGCCAUCGCUCAACGGAUAAAAGCUACCCCGGGGAUAACAGGCUUAUCUCCCCCAAGAGUUCACAUCGACGGGGAGGUUUGGCACCUCGAUGUCGGCUCAUCGCAUCCUGGGGCUGUAGUCGGUCCCAAGGGUUGGGCUGUUCGCCCAUUAAAGCGGUACGCGAGCUGGGUUCAGAACGUCGUGAGACAGUUCGGUCCCUAUCCGUCGUGGGCGUAGGAAAUUUGAGAGGAGCUGUCCUUAGUACGAGAGGACCGGGAUGGACAUACCUCUGGUGUACCAGUUGUCGUGCCAACGGCAUAGCUGGGUAGCUAUGUAUGGACGGGAUAAGUGCUGAAAGCAUCUAAGCAUGAAGCCCCCCUCGAGAUGAGAUUUCCCAACUUC